This 1266-nucleotide ribosomal RNA is filed under the name Triticum aestivum (bread wheat). RNAcentral describes it as "partial small subunit ribosomal RNA". The record is from RNAcentral. Lineage: Eukaryota; Viridiplantae; Streptophyta; Magnoliopsida; Poales; Poaceae.
AUGUUGACUAACCCUACUAAUGGUCUCCAUGAGCUUUGUGAUGAUGCAGAAGAAAACAGUGCAAAAAUCAUAGAAAAUAAUGAAGAAAAUGGCGCCGCAGACCCUUAUUUCAUGUGUCAUGGCUCGGGGGACAUAUCCACCUCGGGAUCAGCGCAGGUGCUGCAGCCAGGCAGCAGAUCUUCCUCGGAUCCCGCGCCUGGCAAUGAUUCUGCCGCGCCAGCCAAAACAGGAGCAGGCAGGCGCGCCGCCGAAUCUGCACCAGCCACGCGGCAGAACCUGGCGGGCGGCAGCGCUUCCCCUCGUGCGCGCGACUCCGCGCCUGACAAGCGGCGGGCCGGUACUGGCUUGGGCCGCGUUCAGAGUCAGGCCCAACUGCGUGUGUACACACGUCGUGCCGCUACUCGUCAAGCGGACGCAGGGGCAAAUUUGCUCAGCCCGGGGCCCAGGCAAUCAUUGGGCCAUGAUGACGCCUCCAGGCCCGGAUCUUCUGCGGUGAUAUCGGCUUCCACACCACGACCCACGACCACAGAAGAUCCCGCUUCGACAUCGCCUGGUGAUUAUAAACACGUUAUAAAAUAUGGGCUGGUAUGUUCUACAGGUGAACCAGGAGAACCCAAUACACUUGAGGAAGCUUUGGGUGAUGCAAAUUGGAGAAAAGCAAUGCAUGAUGAAAUCAUAGCACUUAAGGAAAAUAGAACAUGGCACUUGGUUCCUUCACAACGAGGUAAAAAUCUUAUUGACUGCAAGUGGGUUUUUAGGAUUAAAAGGAAAGCUGAUGGAACCAUUGACCGUUACAAAGCUAGACUCGUUGCAAAGGGUUUUAAACAACGGUAUGGUAUUGACUAUGAGGACACGUUUAGUCCAGUUGUAAAGGCUGCUACUAUUCGUCUUGUUUUGUCCAUUGUUGUGUCCAGGGGAUGGAGUCUACGUCAGCUAGAUGUUCAGAACGCGUUCCUCCUUGGUGUUCUGGAAGAAGAGGUUUACAUGAAACAACCACCUGGGUUUGUAAACACACAUGCACCACUUCAUGUGUGCAAACUUGACAAGGCGUUGUAUGGACUAAAGCAGGCACCAAGAGCAUGGUAUUCUCGUCUCAGUAAGAAGAUUCAAGCACUUGGUUUUGUUCCCUCAAAGUCUAACACGUCAUUGUUCAUUUAUAACAAAUCAAGUAUAUCCAUAUAUGUUCUCAUAUAUGUUGAUGAUAUAAUUGUGACAAGCUCAUCUGAUGAAGCUAUAACUGCACUGUUGAAAGAUUUGAGUACAUAA